RNAcentral lists this ribosomal RNA (483 nucleotides) under uncultured bacterium. RNAcentral's name for it is "partial 16S ribosomal RNA". It matches the Rfam family "Bacterial small subunit ribosomal RNA", at positions 28 to 507 of the family's 1533-position model. The record is from RNAcentral.
GAUGAACGCUGGCGGCGUGCCUAACACAUGCAAGUCGAACGAAGCUUGACGGAUGAUUUCUUCGGAAUGAAACCAGAUAUGACUUAGUGGCGGACGGGUGAGUAACACGUGAGCAACCUGCCUUUCAGAGGGGGAUAACGGCUGGAAACGGUCGCUAAGACCGCAUGAUGUGUUCGGAUGGCAUCAUCUGAACAUCAAAGAUUUAUCGCUGAAAGAUGGGCUCGCGUCUGAUUAGAUAGUUGGUGGGGUAACGGCCUACCAAGUCUACGAUCAGUAGCCGGACUGAGAGGUUGAACGGCCACAUUGGGACUGAGAUACGGCCCAGACUCCUACGGGAGGCAGCAGUGGGGAAUAUUGCACAAUGGGGGAAACCCUGAUGCAGCAACGCCGCGUGAAGGAUGACGGUUUUCGGAUUGUAAACUUCUUUUCUUAGUGACGAAGACAGUGACGGUAGCUAAGGAAUAAGCAUCGGCUAACUACGUG